Molecule: unclassified non-coding RNA, 1379 nt
Filed under: Hevea brasiliensis (rubber tree)
Lineage: Eukaryota; Viridiplantae; Streptophyta; Magnoliopsida; Malpighiales; Euphorbiaceae
Source: RNAcentral
CCCCCCCCCCCCCCCCCCCCCGGCGCACAGAUGGUGAAAUCUAUUAUUGUCCCAAGCUUUGAUCCUCCUACUACAGUGCCAUUUGUGAUAGAGGAGGAGGUUUUUGAAGGUCCAGACAAGUUUCGAUGGAAGAAGAGAAGACUCCAGCCUGAGGUGAAAGAAAAUAUGGUGUUUACCUAGGCUUUUACUUCUCAAAGAGGAAACCUCCUAUUACUCCUUAGGGCUUUUUAGUUAAGGGUAAAAGAGUCAAGUCCAAGGGUGCCACCACUUAGGGUCCUUUUGGCCUAGAAAUAAACCAAUCGACUGGGCUGUUGCCCUCAUAAUUUACUAUGGAUGCCCCUCCUUCUUUGGUUGCCGAAUCCAUAAUGAAGCAAAUUUUUAGCGAAUACAUAGAUCUGAAGGACUUGAAGUUUAUGUCUGUGAUGAGCCAUUUUUUAAAGUUUCCUACUGCGGCUCAGGGUCUUUCUACCAUUCCCCCUCCCUCUUUUUUUGGAGAUGUAAAAGAAAACUCCUCUGUAGAUUGUCUCUUGUACAUUAUCUUACUUUCUUUAUUCUUGAUUCUAACGUUGUUUUCUUUGUUUGAUAGGCUCUGGUUGGGGUUUUGGAAAUAGAGCAUCAUGAUGAGGAGUUCGCAUUAAAUCACUGAAUGGCCAUAACUAAGGCUUGCACUAAAGCGAGGGAGAAGCUCCGGGAAGAGAAGUGUCCAAAGUACGCUGCUGAUUUUGAAAGGCUGAUAAACUUAGAUCCUCAUAAUAAAUUAUCAAAAUUGGAGAAGGUCCUCUUAGGAUCCCAGAAUAUGUAGCUACAAAGGGAGCUUGAUGACAUAAAGAUGGGAGGGAGGAGCGCUGUCUGCAAACCGAGAUGACCUUUGUCCAACAGGACAUCGCCCACGAAAAGCUUAAAACUAAGUUAUACCAGGCGAAAGAGGAGCUAGCACGGACUCAAGAAAAUUCAAAUGAUUGUAUUUGAUAACUAGAGGGUGAAUUAAAGCAAUCCGAGAAAAAAUUGAUACAUUACCCCUAGUCUAAAGAAUUCAAGAAAAUUCUUUAUUCAAGAGCCAUGCGAUUUAAGGGCUUAUGGGUUCAAUAUAAGACUUCUCACAGCUCGUCAGUUGCCAAGCACUCCUUUGUCUGAGUUGAGGGUUUAUGAGAAAGAUUCAGAAGGUGAGGAUGUUGUUUGUGGUGAAAAUGAUCUCCCUCCAAAGGAUAAGGUUGUCCGACCUCCAUCUAUUGCUCCUUCGCCACAGCCUAUAGAUCUUGACUUUUCUAAAGCUGCCCCUAGUUCUAAAAAUGUAGAUUUUUAAUUUACUAUCUGACACUUUAUAAACAUUUUAUUAUAUGUAAUUAUUCGAUUAUUAAUAUAUUUUUAUUUAUUGUUAA